This 24-nucleotide non-coding RNA is filed under the name Macaca fascicularis (crab-eating macaque). Lineage: Eukaryota; Metazoa; Chordata; Mammalia; Primates; Cercopithecidae. RNAcentral also lists the same sequence under 2 other names. The record is from RNAcentral.
AAACCUUCACAAGAAGUCGACUGU